GUGGGGAAUUUUGGACAAUGGGCGAAAGCCUGAUCCAGCCAUGCCGCGUGUGUGAAGAAGGUCUUCGGAUUGUAAAGCACUUUAAGUUGGGAGGAAGGGCAGUAAGUUAAUACCUUGCUGUUUUGACGUUACCGACAGAAUAAGCACCGGCUAACUUCGUGCCAGCAGCCGCGGUAAUACGAAGGGUGCAAGCGUUAAUCGGAAUUACUGUGCGUAAAGCGCGCGUAGGUGGUUUUGUAAGUUGGAGGUGAAAUCCCCGGGCUCAACCUGGGAACUGCAUCCAAAACUGCAUGACUAGAGUACGGUAGAGGGUAGUGGAAUUUCCUGUGUAGCGGUGAAAUGCGUAGAUAUAGGAAUGAACACCAGUGGCGAAGGCGACUACCUGGACUGAUACUGACACUGAGGUGCGAAAGCGUGGGGAGCAAACAGGAUUAGAUACCCGGGUAGUCC
Molecule: ribosomal RNA, 450 nt
Filed under: uncultured bacterium
Lineage: Bacteria
Description: bacterial SSU rRNA
Rfam family: Bacterial small subunit ribosomal RNA
Source: RNAcentral